Molecule: ribosomal RNA, 784 nt
Filed under: uncultured eukaryote
Lineage: Eukaryota
Description: bacterial SSU rRNA
Rfam family: Eukaryotic small subunit ribosomal RNA
Source: RNAcentral
UGACGAUGCCACCAGCGAUUCGCCUGAGUUCUUUAAAUGACUCGGCGAGCAGCUUCCGUGAAAACAAAGUUUUUCGGUUCCGGGGGAAGUAUGGUUGCAAAGCUGAAACUUAAAGGAAUUGACGGAAGGGCACCACCAGGAGUGGAGCCUGCGGCUUAAUUUGACUCAACACGGGGAAACUCACCCGGCCCGGACACUGAAAGGAUUGACAGAUUGAGAGCUCUUUCUUGAUUCAGUGGGUGGUGGUGCAUGGCCGUUCUUAGUUGGUGGAGCGAUUUGUCUGGUUAAUUCCGAUAACGAACGAGACUCUAGCCUGCUAAAUAGCCAACUGAUCCGCAGCGUCGGUUGCUUAUAAUGCUUCUUAGAGGGACAGGCGGCUUCCAGUCGCACGAAAUUGAGCAAUAACAGGUCUGUGAUGCCCUUAGAUGUCCGGGGCCCCACGCGCGCUACACUGAAGGAAUCAACGUGCUUUCUUACCUUGGCCGGAAGGCCUGGGGAAUCCGAUGAAACUCCUUCGUGAUUGGGAUUGAGCUUUGUAACUAUCGCUCAUGAACGAGGAAUUCCCAGUAAGCGCGAGUCAUAAGCUCGCGUUGAUUACGUCCCUGCCCUUUGUACACACCGCCCGUCGCUACUACCGAUUGAAUGAUUUAGUGAGGUCUUCAGACUGGCCAUCGAAUCUGUCGCAAGACGGGCUCGUCUGGUUGGGAAGACGACCAAACUGGUUCAUUUAGAGGAAAUAAAAGUCGUAACAGUGUCUUCCGUAAGUGAACCUGCGGAAGGAUCA